CCUACGGGGUGCAGCAGUGGGGAAUAUUGGACAAUGGGCGAAAGCCUGAUCCAGCCAUGCCGCGUGUGUGAAGAAGGCCUUCGGGUUGUAAAGCACUUUCAGUGGGGAAGAAAGCCUUGGGGCUAAUACCCUCGAGGAAGGACAUCACCCACAGAAGAAGCACCGGCUAACUCCGUGCCAGCAGCCGCGGUAAUACGGAGGGUGCGAGCGUUAAUCGGAAUUACUGGGCGUAAAGCGCGCGUAGGCGGUCUGAUAAGCCGGUUGUGAAAGCCCCGGGCUCAACCUGGGAACGGCAUCCGGAACUGUCAGGCUAGAGGGCAGGAGAGGAAGGUAGAAUUCCCGGUGUAGCGGUGAAAUGCGUAGAGAUCGGGAGGAAUACCAGUGGCGAAGGCGGCCUUCUGGACUGACACUGACGCUGAGGUGCGAAAGCGUGGGUAGCAAACAGGAUUAGAUACCCUAGUAGUC
Molecule: ribosomal RNA, 465 nt
Filed under: Vreelandella stevensii
Lineage: Bacteria; Pseudomonadati; Pseudomonadota; Gammaproteobacteria; Oceanospirillales; Halomonadaceae
Description: partial 16S ribosomal RNA
Rfam family: Bacterial small subunit ribosomal RNA
Source: RNAcentral